This 88-nucleotide transfer RNA is filed under the name Bacteroidota bacterium. RNAcentral's name for it is "tRNA-Ser". It matches the Rfam family "tRNA". Rfam says of the family: Transfer RNA (tRNA) molecules are approximately 80 nucleotides in length. Lineage: Bacteria; Pseudomonadati; Bacteroidota. The record is from RNAcentral.
GGAGAGGUGUCAGAGUGGCCGAACGAGCACGCUUGGAAAGUGUGUUUACCGAAAGGUAACGUGGGUUCGAAUCCCACCCUCUCCGCCA